RNAcentral lists this transfer RNA (74 nucleotides) under Anaerotignum lactatifermentans. RNAcentral's name for it is "tRNA-Arg". It matches the Rfam family "tRNA". From Rfam's summary of the family: Transfer RNA (tRNA) molecules are approximately 80 nucleotides in length. Their secondary structure includes four short double-helical elements and three loops (D, anti-codon, and T loops). The record is from RNAcentral. RNAcentral also lists the same sequence under 2 other names. Lineage: Bacteria; Bacillati; Bacillota; Clostridia; Lachnospirales; Anaerotignaceae.
GUCCCUAUAGCUCAGUUGGAUAGAGCGACCGCCUCCUAAGCGGUAGGCCGGAGGUUCAAAUCCUCUUAGGGACG